UGGAGCAAUCCAUGAGUAGAGUGGCAAACGGGUGAGUAACACGUGGGUGACCUGCCUUCGAGUGGGGGAUAACGUCCCGAAAGGGUCGCUAGUACCGCAUGACAUCCUGCUUUUUAAGAGGCGGAGAUCAAAGCCGGGGACCGCAAGGCCUGGCGCUUGAAGAGGGGCCCGCGCCUGAUUAGCUAGUUGGUGGGGUAAUGGCUCACCAAGGCAACGAUCAGUAUCCGGCCUGAGAGGGCGGACGGACACACUGGGACUGAGACACGGCCCAGACUCCUACGGGAGGCAGCAGUGGGGAAUUGUUCGCAAUGGGCGCAAGCCUGACGACGCAACGCCGCGUGGAGGAUGAAGACCUUCGGG
This 360-nucleotide ribosomal RNA is filed under the name uncultured bacterium. RNAcentral's name for it is "bacterial SSU rRNA". It matches the Rfam family "Bacterial small subunit ribosomal RNA", at positions 75 to 422 of the family's 1533-position model. The record is from RNAcentral.